Molecule: ribosomal RNA, 445 nt
Filed under: uncultured organism
Description: partial 16S ribosomal RNA
Rfam family: Bacterial small subunit ribosomal RNA
Source: RNAcentral
ACUCCUGCGGGAGGCAGCAGUGGGGAAUAUUGGACAAUGGGCGCAAGCCUGAUCCAGCCAUGCCGCGUGAGUGAUGAAGGCCCUAGGGUUGUAAAGCUCUUUCACCGGUGAAGAUAAUGACGGUAACCGGAGAAGAAGCCCCGGCUAACUUCGUGCCAGCAGCCGCGGUAAUACGAAGGGGGCUAGCGUUGUUCGGAUUUACUGGGCGUAAAGCGCACGUAGGCGGACUAUUAAGUCAGGGGUGAAAUCCCGGGGCUCAACCCCGGAACUGCCUUUGAUACUGGUAGUCUUGAGUUCGAGAGAGGUGAGUGGAAUUCCGAGUGUAGAGGUGAAAUUCGUAGAUAUUCGGAGGAACACCAGUGGCGAAGGCGGCUCACUGGCUCGAUACUGACGCUGAGGUGCGAAAGCGUGGGGAGCAAACAGGAUUAGAUACCCGUGUAGUCCC